UCUCGGCAACGGAUAUCUUGGCUCUCGCAUCGAUGAAGAACGUAGCGAAAUGCGAUACCUGGUGUGAAUUGCAGAAUCCCGUGAACCAUCGAGUCUUUGAACGCAAGUUGCGCCCGAGGCCAUCCGGCCAAGGGCACGCCUGCCUGGGCAUCACG
RNAcentral lists this ribosomal RNA (155 nucleotides) under Musa troglodytarum (fe'i banana). RNAcentral's name for it is "5.8S ribosomal RNA". It matches the Rfam family "5.8S ribosomal RNA". From Rfam's summary of the family: 5.8S ribosomal RNA (5.8S rRNA) is a component of the large subunit of the eukaryotic ribosome. Lineage: Eukaryota; Viridiplantae; Streptophyta; Magnoliopsida; Zingiberales; Musaceae. The record is from RNAcentral.